This 854-nucleotide ribosomal RNA is filed under the name uncultured marine eukaryote. Its description in RNAcentral is "SSU rRNA". It matches the Rfam family "Eukaryotic small subunit ribosomal RNA", at positions 609 to 1486 of the family's 1831-position model. The record is from RNAcentral.
GUUGUUGCGGUUAAAAAGCUCGUAGUUGGAUUUCUGUCGUCGGUUGGCGCUCCGCCCUCUGUGGUGUGUAGACGCUACGCCGGCGGCAUCUUCCUGGGGGGUGCUGCUGCACUUCAUUGUGGGGCGCAUUAGCCAGGACGUUUACUUUGAGGAAAUGAGAGUGUUUCAAGCAGGCGUACGCCAUGAAUAUGUUAGCAUGGAAUAAUAGCAUCGGACCUCGUGCCACAGCUGUUGGAUCCUUGGAACGAGGUAAAGGUGAAUAGGGAUUGUUGGGGGCAUUCGUAUUUAACUGUCAGAGGUGAAAUUCUUGGAUUUGUUGAAGACGGACUACUGCGAAAGCAUCUGCCAAAGAUGUUCUCAUUGAUCAAGAACGAAAGUUAGGUGAUCGAAGACGAUCAGAUACCGUCCUAGUCUUAACCAUAAACUAUGCCAACUGGGGAUAGAGGGCCGUUAAAUUGGUGACGCCUUCUGCAUCUUGAGAGAAAUCAAAGUCUUUGGGUUCCGGGGGGAGUAUGGUCGCAAGGCUGAAACUUAAAGGAAUUGACGGAAGGGCACCACCAGGAGUGGAGCCUGCGGCUUAAUUUGACUCAACACGGGGAAACUUACCAGGUCCAGACAUAGUGAGGAUUGACAGACUGAUAGCUCUUUCGAGAUUCUAUGGGUAGUGGUGCAUGGCUGUUCUUAGUUGGUGGAGUGAUUUGUCUGGUUAAUUCCGUUAACGAACGAGACCUUAACCUGCUAAAUAGAUUUUCGGAAUCUCCGGUUCCGACAAAUCUUCUUAGAGGGACGUUGCGUGUCUAACGCCAGGGAGUGUGAGGCAAUAACAGGUCUGUGAUGCCCUUAGAUGUUCUGGG